GUAAAGUAGUAUGAAGUAUUUCGAAUUACUUCUUUUCUUCGCCAUCCACAUUUCUCAACUUACUGGUGGGGCUCAUGUGGGUUAUGUGGAAGACAUGUUUGAAACCGAGGGCCUUAUGCCUCUACGACCAACAGUCAUAAAAAGAAAACCACAGACUCUUCCUGCAGUAAGGCGUCCUUUACCAGCCCCGGUCGUGGCCCCAAUUCCCUCGCAACCAGUUAUCCACCAGCAAGCGUACAUGCUUGGAACCGAGGGCCUUAUGCCUCUACGACCAACAGUCAUAAAAAGAAAACAGCAGCCUCUUCCGGUAGUUAGUCGUCUUUUACCAGUCCCGGUCGUGGCCCCAAUUCCUCCAGAACCAGUUAUUCCCCAACAAGCGUACAGAACACAGAAGAGAGAAGAAGUAUCUAACAUAUUUGAAUCUGAGUCACUGAUACCGUUUGAUGAGCAACCCCUUGCCAGAUACAGACGUGCAGUUCCCGACGAUAAUGUCGAGGGUUCAGGAGGUGUUGAUGCCAGUACAACAGUUGGUCCAGCGACGGUCCUGUGUAAUCAGUUAAGUUGUACCGGUACAGAUUGUUUACAGGCUUUCAAUACAACUGAUGUCAACAGUCAGUGUUCAACAACAGGUUCAUGUUACAUUCGCGCCACAUUUAACGAGACGUACAGAUCCGUUGAGGCACGAUGUGACACAAGAAGCACGUGCGACUGGCAAAUGAUGACGGUUGAUACUUGGUUCGAAAUAUCCACGUGCUGUAAUAAGAAUUUCUGCAAUGACCUUGACCAGUUGAAAGCAGGUGGUUCUAUUGUACAUCACACAACGCAAUAUUCUCUCAUAAUAACUGCUAUCUUGUCAAUGUUCUUUGUGUACACACGUUUCCAUAGCAACUUAUGACAAUAAUAAUUACAUUUAUCAUUAUCACCAUUGACAAAAUAUUAUAUGGUGAAUUAUUAAUUAAUAAUUUGAGGGAAAGGUGAUAGAAAAAAAAAAUGACGAAUAUUUUCGCUUUCGGCAUCCAUUUUGGGAUAAGUGGACAGUUAGUGCUAAUCUGCUAUAAUUCUUAAAUAUCGAAAAGAUCUCAUUAAAAUUAAAUCCCAGUCUACGUCAAAUAUCCGUGAAUUUCGUUCAGGGAAAUGGUGUAGCCUUGUGAAAAAAAAGUGGGACAAAAUUUAACAUUUUUGCGAUUCAAAAAUACACACUGAAACGUUUUCAUAGACGCUUCAGUCUUGUUAUUUUACCGGUCAAACGGAAUCGUUUGCUGUUGUUGAAGCUGUACAGACUAUCUGUAUCAGUUCUGUGCCGCUGCAAAAAUGUUAGAAUUCGUCUAGCGUUAUGGAUAUUCACUCGAAACGGCAAAUGACCCUUUCGCUUUCUCACCGCGAUAAGCCAAUAACUUUCUAUCUAACUCAUCACGGUGACGUACAGACAUUCUCGUUAACUCAUCGCAGACAACCAGUGACAUUCUCGCUAACUCGUCGCAGUGAAUUACAUGUAGUUACUUUUUCGCUAACUCGUCGCGGUGAAUUAUUGACUUUUUCGCUCACCCAUUGAGGUGAAUUAGUGACUUUCCCGCUAUCUCAUCGCGGACAACCAGUGACUUUCUCGCUAACUCAUCGCGGACACCCAGUGACUUUCUCGCUAAGUCAUCGCGGAAAACCAGUGACCUUAUUGCUAACGCAUCGCGGUGACUUAGUAACUUUCUCGCUUUCUCUCUAAGUCAUCGCGAAAAACCAGUAACUUUCUUGCUAUCGCAUCGCGUGACUUAGUAACUUUCUUGCUAUCAUGUCAUUAUGAACCACUGACUUUCUAGCGAUAAACCAGUGACUUCCUCGCUAACUCAUCGCGGUCAACCAGGCUAACGUAGAAACGCGUGGUGUCAUUAUCAAUUGAAUGACGGGAAAAGCGAAUAAAUUUGUAUUUUUCUAUUUCACUAAAUUCGUUUUAUACAUGCAACCGGUGGUAAAAUAUCCCAGCAAAUCCUUGAAAAUAUAUCUCUAUUAUUAAUGUGAUAUUCGAUAUUUUGUUUUAUUUCGUCGUACAUUUUAUCAAUGUUUAAAAAUAUUUCAGACUUACUAGCAAAAUGAAAGUUAGCGAUACGCCUACUAUGUUUCUUUUUUAUAUUACGCUCUGCAAUAAAAGCAGGAAAGACAGUCCCAUUUUAAUUACAGUUGGUAAUGGUAGUUAUGUAUAUAAAUUAUUUAUUUUACGAAAUAUAUUGAAUAUUAUCCAGUAACACAAGAAACGCUCAGAUCUGGAUAAGGCGCGGGGAGAGAUGAUCGGUGGUCGCUGACAUGUAAUCCUAAAAAGAUCUCGCGGGUGAAUUUUGCCACCAAGCAGACAUUCUUUCGAGUUUCAUACACCCCCCCCCCCCCUCAUCUUUCCCAGAGAAUAUGAAUAUUAAUUAUACAUUCAAUUUUUUUAAUAUGCGGGCACCGUUGAUAAUUACGCGACUCUCGCACACAAGUAAAGGGAUACGUUUUCAUCUCUAUACACAUGUGUUAAGGGGUGCACAGCCUAUAAGUAUGACGUCAUAUUGUCGGGGCGUUUCUUGUGUGUAACCUGAGUAGUUACUAUCUUU
This is a long non-coding RNA of Patella vulgata (common limpet), 2579 nucleotides long. RefSeq lists it as uncharacterized. The record is from RefSeq and is a predicted model, not a curated record. The transcript has 5 exons. NCBI's taxonomy places the organism in Eukaryota, Metazoa, Mollusca, Gastropoda, Patellidae.